RNAcentral lists this ribosomal RNA (621 nucleotides) under Escherichia coli. RNAcentral describes it as "partial 23S ribosomal RNA". It matches the Rfam family "Bacterial large subunit ribosomal RNA", at positions 1291 to 1897 of the family's 2925-position model. The record is from RNAcentral. Lineage: Bacteria; Pseudomonadati; Pseudomonadota; Gammaproteobacteria; Enterobacterales; Enterobacteriaceae.
CGAAUGCUGACAUAAGUAACGAUAAAGCGGGUGAAAAGCCCGCUCGCCGGAAGACCAAGGGUUCCUGUCCAACGUUAAUCGGGGCAGGGUGAGUCGACCCCUAAGGCGAGGCCGAAAGGCGUAGUCGAUGGGAAACAGGUUAAUAUUCCUGUACUUGGUGUUACUGCGAAGGGGGGACGGAGAAGGCUAUGUUGGCCGGGCGACGGUUGUCCCGGUUUAAGCGUGUAGGCUGGUUUUCCAGGCAAAUCCGGAAAAUCAAGGCUGAGGCGUGAUGACGAGGCACUACGGUGCUGAAGCAACAAAUGCCCUGCUUCCAGGAAAAGCCUCUAAGCAUCAGGUAACAUCAAAUCGUACCCCAAACCGACACAGGUGGUCAGGUAGAGAAUACCAAGGCGCUUGAGAGAACUCGGGUGAAGGAACUAGGCAAAAUGGUGCCGUAACUUCGGGAGAAGGCACGCUGAUAUGUAGGUGAAGUCCCUCGCGGAUGGAGCUGAAAUCAGUCGAAGAUACCAGCUGGCUGCAACUGUUUAUUAAAAACACAGCACUGUGCAAACACGAAAGUGGACGUAUACGGUGUGACGCCUGCCCGGUGCCGGAAGGUUAAUUGAUGGGGUCAGCGCA